This 71-nucleotide transfer RNA is filed under the name Tetraponera aethiops. RNAcentral describes it as "tRNA-Pro". The record is from RNAcentral. Lineage: Eukaryota; Metazoa; Arthropoda; Insecta; Hymenoptera; Formicidae.
CAAAAAAUAGUUUAAUAGAGAAUAUUAAUUUUGGGGAUUAAUGGUAUAUAUAUUUUAAUAUGUUUUUUUGA